This 418-nucleotide ribosomal RNA is filed under the name uncultured bacterium. RNAcentral's name for it is "bacterial SSU rRNA". It matches the Rfam family "Bacterial small subunit ribosomal RNA", at positions 352 to 782 of the family's 1533-position model. The record is from RNAcentral.
CAGUGGGGAAUAUUGCACAAUGGGCGGAAGCCUGAUGCAGCGACGCCGCGUGAGGGAUGAAGGCCUUCGGGUUGUAAACCUCUUUCGGCAGGGACGAAGCGCAAGUGACGGUACCUGCAGAAGAAGCGCCGGCCAACUACGUGCCAGCAGCCGCGGUAAGACGUAGGGCGCGAGCGUUGUCCGGAUUUAUUGGGCGUAAAGAGCUCGUAGGCGGCUUGUCGCGUCGACUGUGAAAAACCACGACUCAACCGUGGGACUGCAGUCGAUACGGGCAGGCUAGAGUUCGGUAGGGGAGACUGGAAUUCCUGGUGUAGCGGUGAAAUGCGCAGAUAUCAGGAGGAACACCGGUGGCGAAGGCGGGUCUCUGGGCCGAUACUGACGCUGAGGAGCGAAAGCGUGGGGAGCGAACAGGAUUAGA